Long non-coding RNA from Triticum aestivum (bread wheat), 197 nucleotides. RefSeq lists it as uncharacterized. The record is from RefSeq and is a predicted model, not a curated record. The transcript has 3 exons. Lineage: Eukaryota; Viridiplantae; Streptophyta; Magnoliopsida; Poales; Poaceae.
UGGGUGGAAGAGUUUUAGAUGACUACAGGAGUUCUUUGAAACCAGAAAUGGUGGAAGCCUUGGUGUGCGGUGCUAGUUAUAUCAAAGGUUCUCACAAGGACUUCAAUGUGGUGGAGAGAGAUGAAGAUGAGGAGGACGAUGUUGAGAAUAUCAAGUUGCCCAAGAUUGUUGAUGUGGGGGAUAAAAACAAUUGGUAA